CUCAGAGUGAACGCUGGCGGUAGGCCUAACACAUGCAAGUCGAACGGCAGCACAGGAGAGCUUGCUCUCUGGGUGGCGAGUGGCGGACGGGUGAGGAAUACAUCGGAAUCUACUCUGUCGUGGGGGAUAACGUAGGGAAACUUACGCUAAUACCGCAUACGACCUACGGGUGAAAGCAGGGGAUCUUCGGACCUUGCGCGAUUGAAUGAGCCGAUGUCGGAUUAGCUAGUUGGCGGGGUAAAGGCCCACCAAGGCGACGAUCCGUAGCUGGUCUGAGAGGAUGAUCAGCCACACUGGAACUGAGACACGGUCCAGACUCCUACGGGAGGCAGCAGUGGGGAAUAUUGGACAAUGGGCGCAAGCCUGAUCCAGCCAUACCGCGUGGGUGAAGAAGGCCUUCGGGUUGUAAAGCCCUUUUGUUGGGAAAGAAAUCCAGCUGGCUAAUACCUGGUUGGGAUGACGGUACCCAAAGAAUAAGCACCGGCUAACUUCGUGCCAGCAGCCGCGGUAAUACGAAGGGUGCAAGCGUUACUCGGAAUUACUGGGCGUAAAGCGUGCGUAGGUGGUCGUUUAAGUCCGUUGUGAAAGCCCUGGGCUCAACCUGGGAACUGCAGUGGAUACUGGGCGACUAGAGUGUGGUAGAGGGUAGCGGAAUUCCUGGUGUAGCAGUGAAAUGCGUAGAGAUCAGGAGGAACAUCCAUGGCGAAGGCAGCUACCUGGAC
This 722-nucleotide ribosomal RNA is filed under the name Stenotrophomonas sp. RNAcentral describes it as "bacterial SSU rRNA". It matches the Rfam family "Bacterial small subunit ribosomal RNA", at positions 23 to 734 of the family's 1533-position model. Lineage: Bacteria; Pseudomonadati; Pseudomonadota; Gammaproteobacteria; Lysobacterales; Lysobacteraceae. The record is from RNAcentral.